This 253-nucleotide ribosomal RNA is filed under the name uncultured bacterium. RNAcentral's name for it is "partial 16S ribosomal RNA". It matches the Rfam family "Bacterial small subunit ribosomal RNA", at positions 524 to 776 of the family's 1533-position model. The record is from RNAcentral.
GACGGAGGGUGCAAGCGUUGUUCGGAUUGACUGGGCGUAAAGAGCGCGCAGGCGGUCGUUCAAGUCGAGUGUGAAAGCCCCCGGCUCAACUGGGGAGGGUCACUCGAUACUGAUCGACUCGAAGGCAGGAGAGGGUAGUGGAAUUCCCGGUGUAGUGGUGAAAUGCGUAGAUAUCGGGAGGAACACCAGUGGCGAAGGCGACUACCUGGCCUGUUCUUGACGCUGAGGCGCGAAAGCUAGGGGAGCAAACGGG